RNAcentral lists this ribosomal RNA (735 nucleotides) under uncultured bacterium. Its description in RNAcentral is "bacterial SSU rRNA". It matches the Rfam family "Bacterial small subunit ribosomal RNA", at positions 335 to 1064 of the family's 1533-position model. The record is from RNAcentral.
ACUCCUACGGGUGGCUGCAGUGGGGAAUAUUGGACAAUGGGGGCAACCCUGAUCCAGCAAUGCCGCGUGUGUGAAGAAGGCCUUAGGGUUGUAAAGCACUUUCGUUAGUGAAGAAAGGUUUAUGGUUAAUACCUGUGAAUUUGACAUUAGCUAAAGAAGAAGCACCGGCUAACUCCGUGCCAGCAGCCGCGGUAAUACGGAGGGUGCAAGCGUUAUUCGGAAUGACUGGGCGUAAAGCGCACGCAGGCGGUUAUUUAAGUCAGAUGUGAAAGCCCCGGGCUUAACCUGGGAAUUGCAUUUGAAACUGGGUAACUAGAGUAUGUCAGAGGAAGGCGGAAUUUCCAGUGUAGCAGUGAAAUGCGUAGAGAUUGGAAGGAACACCGAUGGCGAAGGCAGCCUUCUGGGGCAAUACUGACGCUCAUGUGCGAAAGCGUGGGUAGCAAACAGGAUCAGAUACCCUGGUAGUCCACGCCCUAAACGAUGUCAACUAGGUGUUGGGCACUUAAGUGCUCGGUACCGCAGCUAACGCAUUAAGUUGACCGCCUGGGGAGUACGGCCGCAAGGUUGAAACUCAAAGAAAUUGACGGGGACCCGCACAAGCGGUGGAGCAUGUGGUUUAAUUCGAUGCAACGCGAAGAACCUUACCAGGCCUUGACAUCCAGAGAACUAAGCAGAGAUGCUAUGGUGCCUUCGGGAACUCUGAGACAGGUGCUGCAUGGAUGUCGUCAGCUCGUG